RNAcentral lists this ribosomal RNA (1110 nucleotides) under Triticum aestivum (bread wheat). RNAcentral describes it as "partial small subunit ribosomal RNA". The record is from RNAcentral. Lineage: Eukaryota; Viridiplantae; Streptophyta; Magnoliopsida; Poales; Poaceae.
AUGGCCAGAGUUUUUCAUGUCUACAACUAUGAGCAAGUGGCCAGAAAAGAGACCUUUGUACGUGGCACAGGACGGUUUGUGAUCAGUGAUGACAUGACAAUCAAGCCAGCAUCUACAGGAGUCAUACAGUCGCUGCCUCAAGCGUUCGGUUCUAAUGGAAUCGCCCAUGGCUUUGAGGAGCUGGAAGUGACCGUCAGCUGGCUCACUGUUUCAUCCAUGCUGAAGGCCUUCCUUUCAUCAGAUACCGUGCUCAGUGAUGCGUUCCUAACAAAUGAACCUGAUGGCAAGGCUGCUCAUGCUACCGCGAAACCGAGCAUCGAUCGGAAAAUUCCACCGUCCGAUCAAGAUUCCGCAGGUUCUUUCCCAGAAAGCAAGAUCAAGAUUUUCUAUGACACAUAUAAAAAGAAGGUCAUGUAUGCUGAAUGCAACCGUGAGUUCGUGGACCUGCUCAUGGGUUUCUUGACUUACCCUGCGAGCUGCGUGAUCAAGCACACAGGAGCUGUCACUUGCCAUCUUGGCAGGUGCUUCACAAAUCUCUAUAGCAGCGUUGUCGAUCUCGCCAAUGCUGGGUGCUUCACAGGUGGCCUCCCUGGUGUGAUGUUACUGGAUCCAAGCAUUAUGCCGUUUGACAUUUUGAGCAACAUCUUGUCCGACCGGUGCCGGCCGCUUGACUGUCGGUGUCGGAAGGACACGAUGCCAGAGCUAGCACGCUACUGCUUCCACCCUGAGAUUGUCGAGGACCGAAAGUACGUCGUAGGCGAUGAUCUGCUUAUACAUCAGGCAACUGCCAUGUCUGUGAUGAAGUAUUGGUCUGGGAGGAACAAGGCUAUGGUACUGGAGACUGACAUUACCGUAGGGAAGCAGGAGGCUGUUGCGUUGCUGCGAGCCGCGCUAAUAACUUCGAAGAAUGCACUGACCGAAGUGUUCAUAGAUAGGCUGGAGGCACAGUCGGUCCCCGGGGGGCGGAUCAUAACCGUGGAGGUUGCAAGGUCCGACACCAUUGCGACUGUCAAGGGUAGGAUCAAGGAUAGGGUGUCUAUUCCUGAGGGGUUUCGUCAUGAAUUGGUCUACGGUAGCAGAUAUCUUAAAGACUCGCGCACAGUUGCCGAU